GCGAAUGAAUUUUUAGCACAGAAAGCUAACAUGUAUCAAUGCCUAUGUGCCACAUACGCUGCAUAAAGAACUUACAUAAAAUUUGCGACAUGUUGCAUUACCCUUAUGCUAUUUUAUUUUAAUAAUAUAAGCAUAUGUUAUGUUUCUUUGACAGAAUGAAAUCUUGUGAUUGAAUCCUCACACACCUUGUCACCUCCAAUAAAAA
Molecule: unclassified non-coding RNA, 205 nt
Filed under: Hevea brasiliensis (rubber tree)
Lineage: Eukaryota; Viridiplantae; Streptophyta; Magnoliopsida; Malpighiales; Euphorbiaceae
Source: RNAcentral